UGUCCCUGGGUGUAGCAUCACAGCAGAAUCUCUCAUGAUGGGGAAGGAGUCUAUUUUCCUAUUUCUUUAUUUCCUCGGCUGCGUGCAACAACUACUUAAACAAGGUGGAUGUUUCUUUUACUCUGCUGUAAAUGUCUGGGUGAAGAUACUUCAGGUGGGCGUUCUUUGAAGACCUUCUUUUCUGCCUCUGAGUCAUAAAGUCUCCUGAUCUCCAGAACCCGGCUCACCUGCACGAGUAGCAUCUGUCCUGCUGUCACCUUCUGAAGCGUGUACUGCUGCCAGCCCGGCCAGAGCACCUGACAUCCGCCCGACCCUCCCCACCUUGGUGGUGACCCUGAGUUUCUCUGCCUUCUGCCUUCCCCAGGAUGAUGUCUGCUAUGCGUUUAUCAUCAGUCGUCAUCUUGUGAUCCACAAACUUAUUUCUUUCCACCUGUUCCAUGGCUUCUUCAUGCGCUCUGGAUGUCAUUUUGGCCUUUUGCAGAGCAGCUGCAAGCUGAGAUUGGCCAGCUUCUCCUUCCGGUCUGGGGAUGUAUUGGGUCGUUGAUUCAUUAACACCAAACUGGGCUCAGCCGCACUGUCACUCAUGCCCACUCCAGCUUCUCUGACACGCGUACCUUAGGGUGCAUCACUGCCCUCCUGCUUAGGAGCUCUAGCAGCCACCAGCACUGAAGCAUCCAGGUCACUUUCAACAGAAAAAUCAUUAAAAUGCACAUGCACGUGAAAAACAUGGCACUGAAUAAGUAGACCGAGAAAAGGACGCUUGCUUUACAGCACUGAGCUGAAACAAGAAGGCUGUGUGGUUGCGUUCAGCCUCCUCGGGACCAUGUGUGGCAAGUGUCUGACAAUGACCGCCGACAGCGUGCCUACUGACUCUGGUGUUACAGUAGACUUUAGCAAGUAGGUAAAUUCACAAAUACAGAAUCCACCAGCAGCAAUGAUGAACUAUACGAAUUUGCUUCCGAACGCUCAUUUCUCUUUCUUUGUCUCUUGGGAUGUUUCUGCCUCACGACCACAUUUUAUUACUGUAGUUUUGAAUUGUGUGACUAUUCAAGAGAAUGGAUGUCUCCCCGGUUUGCUUUCGUUUUCAAAAUUGAUUUUCCUAUUUUGUGCACUUUUAUUUUUCUAUGAAUAUGUAAUGAUACAGUUUUUGAACCCUCAAAUAAUCCAGCUGGAAUCAUGCGAGGCAUUGAUUCAAUUUACAGAUUAAUUAGGAAAUGAGUGACUUUAGAAGGUUAAGUUAUCCAUUGAUGAGCAUGGUAUAUCUCAAUAUUUAUUCAGAUUUUCUUUUGUAUCAACUAAAACUAUCUACAUUUUUUCUUUUACAUUAUUUAUUAGGAAUAUUCUUAGG
This 1348-nucleotide long non-coding RNA is filed under the name Heterocephalus glaber (naked mole-rat). Its description in RNAcentral is "lncRNA (ENSHGLG00100036965.1)". The record is from RNAcentral. Lineage: Eukaryota; Metazoa; Chordata; Mammalia; Rodentia; Bathyergidae.